This is a non-coding RNA of Callithrix jacchus (white-tufted-ear marmoset), 999 nucleotides long. NCBI's taxonomy places the organism in Eukaryota, Metazoa, Chordata, Mammalia, Primates, Cebidae. The record is from RefSeq and is a predicted model, not a curated record.
UUCUGUGUGACUUCAUGACAUGUGUGGGUUCAUGCAACCACCAUGGCAACCAAGGCACAGCACUGUGCCAUCACCAAAGGGAAGUCACACCCACCCCCUCCUCUCCACCAUCCCUAAACCCUGGCAACCACUAAUCUGUUUUCCAUCUCUGAAGACUGGCUUUUGAGCCCACACAGCCUUUGGUAAGCACUGGCAGCCGUGGGCACACAGCAGGUUCUCACUGAGCAGUUGUGAAGGAAAGAGUGAAGCAAAGGAUUCUCUACUCUGGAUACACUUUCUCAGCCAAAUUUUAAUUCCUUUUAUGAGAGCUCCUUCAGCCUGUCUUCCUGGCUUCCUCCUUCACCUCCUCCUCCCUGCAUUUCCGAGGUCACCUAAAACCCUCUGUACGCUUUUGUGCCAUGGGGAGCCUCCUGCUGUGUUUACUGCCGGCCAUCUGCCUGGAGGGCUGCCACCUCUCCAAGCUCACAGCACAGAAAAAGUGAUGGGAGGAACUCAACAGACCCCAUGCUCUCCCGCCAGGAAAACACUGGUAGCUCAACUCAGACCUAAAUUCACGGCAGCUUCAGAGGGUGAAGGGGAAGCCUUCCCUUCUUCCCUACAAAUUCAGCUGAGCAUAAAGUUUGGAAGGCAAACACCAGGGAGUAAUUUUACAUUUAUUACUUGUCCAAGAUCUGGAAUGAAAGAACUUCUGUGUUAUUAUUAUUUACACUCUGUGAAUAACACUGAGAAGAAUUAUUGAGGUAAAGCUCAAAAGAGUUUUGAGAACCUACAAUGUGCCAAUCACAGAAGUUCCCCUGACCUUCAUCUGAUCCACAAUGCCAAGCUGUUGUGCCUGGAGACUCUAGGAGGGCAGAGUUCUUCUUGUGAUUUCUGUGUCCAUUCUACAAUCUCAGUGGCUGAUCAUGUACAGUGCAGAAAAUGUUAUACUAAGAGGAAGAAGCAUGCUGAAAAAGACUGCAAAAUCACCAGCAUCCGAAACAACCCUGUAGAUACCUUUAA